Molecule: ribosomal RNA, 560 nt
Filed under: uncultured archaeon
Lineage: Archaea
Description: bacterial SSU rRNA
Rfam family: Archaeal small subunit ribosomal RNA
Source: RNAcentral
CAGCAGGCGCGAAAACUUUACAAUGCGGGAAACCGUGAUAAGGGGACACCGAGUGCCAGCAUCAUAUGCUGGCUGUCCGGGUGUGUAAAAUACACCUGUCAGCAAGGGCCGGGCAAGACCGGUGCCAGCCGCCGCGGUAACACCGGCGGCCCGAGUGGUGAUCGUGAUUAUUGGGUCUAAAGGGUCCGUAGCCGGUUUGGUCAGUCCUCCGGGAAAUCUGACGGCUCAACCGUUAGGCUUUCGGGGGAUACUGCCAGGCUUGGAACCGGGAGAGGUAAGAGGUACUACAGGGGUAGGAGUGAAAUCUUGUAAUCCCUGUGGGACCACCUGUGGCGAAGGCGUCUUACCAGAACGGGUUCGACGGUGAGGGACGAAAGCUGGGGGCACGAACCGGAUUAGAUACCCGGGUAGUCCCAGCCGUAAACGAUGCUCGCUAGGUGUCAGGCAUGGCGCGACCGUGUCUGGUGCCGCAGGGAAGCCGUGAAGCGAGCCACCUGGGAAGUACAGCCGCAAGGCUGAAACUUAAAGGAAUUGGCGGGGGAGCACAAGGGCGAUUCGCG